Molecule: non-coding RNA, 87 nt
Filed under: Ureibacillus sinduriensis
Lineage: Bacteria; Bacillati; Bacillota; Bacilli; Caryophanales; Caryophanaceae
Also listed under: 1 other name
Description: Lysinibacillus sinduriensis c-di-GMP sequence
Rfam family: c-di-GMP-I riboswitch aptamer
About the family: GEMM was predicted in a large-scale screen for bacterial structured RNA regulatory elements.
Source: RNAcentral
AACUGAAAAAGGCAAACUUACUGAAAGGUGAGGACGCAAAACUACGAGUCUAAAAUCCUCCUGGAUAAUGAUAGUCGGGUCGCCAAA